RNAcentral lists this ribosomal RNA (500 nucleotides) under uncultured bacterium. Its description in RNAcentral is "partial 16S ribosomal RNA". It matches the Rfam family "Bacterial small subunit ribosomal RNA", at positions 30 to 523 of the family's 1533-position model. The record is from RNAcentral.
AUUGAACGCUGGCGGCAUGCCUUACACAUGCAAGUCGAACGGCAGCACGGGAGCAAUCCUGGUGGCGAGUGGCGAACGGGUGAGUAAAGUAUCGGAACGUGCCCAGUCGUGGGGGAUAACGUAGCGAGAGUUACGCUCAUACCGCAUACGAACUAUGGAUGAAAGCGGGGGAUCGCAAGACCUCGCGCGAUUGGAGCGGCCGAUAUCAGAUUAGGUAGUUGGUGGGGUAAAGGCUCACCAAGCCGACGAUCUGUAGCUGGUCUGAGAGGACGACCAGCCACACUGGGACUGAGACACGGCCCAGACUCCUACGGGAGGCAGCAGUGGGGAAUUUUGGACAAUGGGCGGAAGCCUGAUCCAGCCAUGCCGCGUGCAGGAUGAAGGCCUUCGGGUUGUAAACUGCUUUUGUACGGAACGAAAAGGUUUGGCCUAAUAAGCUGAGCUCAUGACGGUACCGUAAGAAUAAGCACCGGCUAACUACGUGCCAGCCGCCGCGGUAA